GGCGGAAGGGAUAGCCGCCAAGGCAAAGCAACCACGACCCUCCCGCAGCUACACAGGCUCCAAGAUGGCAGCAAGGGCGGAAUCCUUCGAUUAUCUCGCCUCUUAUUGGACAGUUCAUGCGGGAGAAUAACAGCGUCGUUCAUUGGUGAAUAAAAUUCUCCCCGUCUCCGAUGCACCGAACUAAAGGGAAAACGCUUUUUCUGCGUGCCAGUGCAGCCUGAGAGACAGUUGUCACUCGUGACUCAUUUAGCUUGCUCUUCGCCAGUACAACCCUGGCACAACCUAGAGUUUCAUAGCAUUUAAGAAAACAUUCUGUAGGCUUUUUAGUCCCUGCGCUCGUUGCCUUGUGUAUUCAAUGGACCUUUCCUACUCCGCCCACCCCUUCUCCAGCACCGAGGAAAUAGUUCCCCGGCUUUGCACUGGAACUUCUAGACCUCAAGGAGAAAACCCAAGAUAUCAUUUUCGAAGGAACCUUUAUAUCAAUCUGGGCAAAGGAACAGAAAGGAGGACCUAAUGUGCAGGCUAAAGAUUUAGGGAUGAGGUAAAGCUAAUGCUUUCUCACACCUUGCGUUUCAAUCUACCCAUUUUCUGGGAAGAAAAUUAAAGCAUAUCGACAAGGAAUGCAAUUAUACAAUUGGAGAAAAAUGGAAUUGCAUGCAGAAGUGUUCAACAAGGGAUUCAACAGAGAGUGUCUCAUUGGUCUUCAAUAGAGGGCUCAAGCUAUUCUCCUGCUUCAGCAUUCUAUGGAGUGCAAGAACCACAAGCAAAACCAGGUGUAAGUUACUUGCCUGCCGCGACUGCCUCGACCAGCAAGGAAGACGCAACACCGGAGCUCUUCUUGCAAGCAAUUUACUCAGGACCUUGUUACAAUAGUUUCUCUCUCCGGGCAAGCUCCUCCCAGCCCUUAAGUAGCCCUGGGCAGCCAAUCCUGGAUCGCCACGUGGGCACUGUCCAUAGGACCACUUAUACGCAAGCAGCUUACGAUCAUCACGAGAUCCUGACCUUAGCCAAAUAAGGUGUUGUUUACCACUGAGAGCGCUGGCUUUUGGGAUCGCGGAAGGCGGAAGCUGGCGCCAUCUUUUAGGAGAAUAUCAUCCAUAUAAUGGAGACAUUUCACAGUUGGAAAACGAGCCUGUAAGGGCUCCAAAGCAGCAGCUACAAAUAAUCGACACAUACUAGGACUAUUGGCCAUACCCUGAGGCAAGAGCAAAUAACCCGUUUUGGUCAUGGAUCCCCAAUCUUACCUUGAGGACUUACCGGUGCACCCCCUGACUGCUACAAGUUCUGGGCUCCAGGGAAAGGAGAGGAGAAUCUCCGUAUGGGCCACCACUUGUCGCAACCGCCUCGACCAGUACGCAACACCGGAGCUCUUCUUGCAAGCAAUUUACUCAGGACCUUGUUACAAUAGUUUCUCUCUCCGGGCAACCCCUUAAGUAGCCCUGGGCAGCCAAUCCUGGAUCGCCAUGUGGGCACUGUCCAUAGGUCCACUUAUGCGCAAGUAGUUUACGAUCAUCGCGUGAUCCUGGCCUUAGCCAAAUAAGGUGUUGUUUACCACUGAGAGCGCUGGCUUUUGGGAUCGCGGAAGGCGGAAGCUGGCGCCAUCUUUUAGGUGCGGCUCCAUGAAGCUCUCUAUACUUGCCAACCAUAUUUUCAAUAGUAAAAUGAUGAUGAUGAAAAACCAAGAUGUCUUGUAUGAGAAUAGACCAAUGAUUAAAAAUAAUACACCUAUAA
This is a non-coding RNA of Myodes glareolus (Bank vole), 1731 nucleotides long. The record is from RefSeq and is a predicted model, not a curated record. Lineage: Eukaryota; Metazoa; Chordata; Mammalia; Rodentia; Cricetidae.